UGCCAGCAGCCGCGGUAAUACGAAGGGACCUAGCGUAGUUCGGAAUUACUGGGCUUAAAGAGCUCGUAGGUGGUUAAAAAAGUUGAUGGUGAAAUCCCAAGGCUUAACUCUGGAACUGCCAUCAAAACUUUUCAGCUAGAGUAUGAUAGAGGAAAGCAGAAUUUCUAGUGUAGAGGCGAAAUUCGUAGAUAUUAGAAAGAAUACCAAUUGCGAAGGCAGCUUUCUGGAUCAUUACUGACACUGAGGAACGAAAGCAUGGGUAGCGAAGAGGAUUAGAUA
Molecule: ribosomal RNA, 279 nt
Filed under: uncultured bacterium
Lineage: Bacteria
Description: partial 16S ribosomal RNA
Rfam family: Bacterial small subunit ribosomal RNA
Source: RNAcentral